CUGUUUCAACCUGUUGUGGACAAAUCCAGUGAAUAUGUGUAUCAAUCGCUCCAGCCGUCAAAAUUUGGCCUUCACCAGCAAUAACUUCGGUCGCAGCACCUAAAGGAAUACUAAUAUCGGGUUGAAUGUCUGGAUUACCGGCUUUACCAAUUUUCCAGAUACGUCCGUUUUUUAGACCAACAUCGGCUUUAAUAAUUCCCCACCAAUCGACAAUUAAAGCAUUGGUAAUCACCGUAUCUGCCACUUCAUUGGCCAGCAUUUGUGAUUGCCCCAUACCAUCACGA
RNAcentral lists this small RNA (284 nucleotides) under Acinetobacter qingfengensis. RNAcentral's name for it is "5' ureB small RNA". It matches the Rfam family "5' ureB small RNA". The record is from Rfam by way of RNAcentral. Lineage: Bacteria; Pseudomonadati; Pseudomonadota; Gammaproteobacteria; Moraxellales; Moraxellaceae.